UGCAGUCGAGCGAUCCUUUCGGGGAUAGCGGCGGACGGGUGAGUAACGCGUGGGAAUGUGCCCUUCUCUACGGAAUAGCCUCGGGAAACUGGGAGUAAUACCGUAUACGCCCCUUGGGGGAAAGAUUUAUCGGAGAAGGAUCAGCCCGCGUUGGAUUAGGUAGUUGGUGGGGUAAUGGCCUACCAAGCCUACGAUCCAUAGCUGGUUUGAGAGGAUGAUCAGCCACACUGGGACUGAGACACGGCCCAGACUCCUACGGGAGGCAGCAGUGGGGAAUCUUAGACAAUGGGGGCAACCCUGAUCUAGCCAUGCCGCGUGAGUGAUGAAGGCCUUAGGGUUGUAAAGCUCUUUCAGCUGGGAAGAUAAUGACGGUACCAGCAGAAGAAGCCCCGGCUAACUCCGUGCCAGCAGCCGCGGUAAUACGGAGGGGGCUAGCGUUGUUCGGAAUUACUGGGCGUAAAGCGCACGUA
Molecule: ribosomal RNA, 470 nt
Filed under: Paracoccus aminovorans
Lineage: Bacteria; Pseudomonadati; Pseudomonadota; Alphaproteobacteria; Rhodobacterales; Paracoccaceae
Description: bacterial SSU rRNA
Rfam family: Bacterial small subunit ribosomal RNA
Source: RNAcentral